RNAcentral lists this non-coding RNA (30 nucleotides) under Mus musculus (house mouse). The record is from RNAcentral. Lineage: Eukaryota; Metazoa; Chordata; Mammalia; Rodentia; Muridae.
UCCACAAAGGGCAUGCAUGCCAAAAGCCUG